GUCAGGAUGGCCGAGCCGUCUAAGGCGCUGCGUUCAGGUGGCAGUCCUCUUUUUUGUGGGCGUGGGUUCGAAUCCCACUUCUGACA
Molecule: non-coding RNA, 86 nt
Organism: Trichonephila clavipes
Lineage: Eukaryota; Metazoa; Arthropoda; Arachnida; Araneae; Nephilidae
Source: the annotation of a GenBank genome assembly